This 790-nucleotide long non-coding RNA is filed under the name Homo sapiens (human). Its description in RNAcentral is "non-protein coding lnc-ALG10B-9:1". The record is from RNAcentral. Lineage: Eukaryota; Metazoa; Chordata; Mammalia; Primates; Hominidae.
UAAUAAAAUCUCUUUUCUUUGGUCUAAAGGUCCUACACACCAAACCCUUUCUUACCUCAUGGCCUUUGCACCUGCUAUUUCCUCUUACUAGAAUGUUCUUAACCCCAUCCUUGAAUGGCUGACUUUUUCCUCAUCCUUUAAGCCUCUGCUUAAAUGUCAGCAUGUCAGCUCUAAACAUCAAUCUGAAAUAGGUGCUCACUCCCAGCCUGGGCAACAGAGUGAGCUCUGUCUCAAAUGAACUAUGUUUUGAUAAAAAUGUUCAGAAAGUUUUAAUAUAUUAUGAAGGCCCAGCACAACCACCCAGUCUCACAUUCACUUGUCAAGUGAAAGUGAUGAAGAAAAAAGGUCAGGACUGAAAAUUGAAUAUAGCUAAAAUGGCCAUAUUCUAAUUUUAAAAAGAGAGAAAUCACAAAUAAAAUAAUAAAUGAAAGAGAAAACAUUACAAGUCAUGGUACAGGAAUAAAAAUGAUCAUAAGGGACUAUUAUGAACAACUUUCAUGUUGUACUGCAAGAAACUGAUCACCACAUUUAAAACUUGGGAGAAGACAGCUACUAUAUCAAUGAUUAACCAUAGAAUAAAAUUUUAGGCUGUGGUUUUUCAGUAUACAUGUACUAUCACAAAACCUUAUGUUGUGAUUUAUCUUUAUUUAAAACUUUAGAUGCUUCACAUUUAAGGAAAAUUGUGACUGCAUGAGGUUUCUAACUGCACUAUACUAUGAGUAUCAGGGUUUUUUUUUUCAAUAUACAGCCUAUAUAUAUUUUGAUAAAAAAUACUCUUUUUUUGAAAUAA